RNAcentral lists this ribosomal RNA (468 nucleotides) under uncultured bacterium. RNAcentral describes it as "partial 16S ribosomal RNA". It matches the Rfam family "Bacterial small subunit ribosomal RNA", at positions 28 to 507 of the family's 1533-position model. The record is from RNAcentral.
GACGAACGCUGGCGGCGUGCUUAACACAUGCAAGUCGAACGGAAAGGCCCUGCUUUUGUGGGGUGCUCGAGUGGCGAACGGGUGAGUAACACGUGAGUAACCUGCCCUUGACUUUGGGAUAACUUCAGGAAACUGGGGCUAAUACCGGAUAGGAGCUCCUGCUGCAUGGUGGGGGUUGGAAAGUUUCGGCGGUUGGGGAUGGACUCGCGGCUUAGCAGCUUGUUGGUGGGGUAGUGGCUUACCAAGGCUUUGACGGGUAGCCGGCCUGCGAGGGUGACCGGCCACAUUGGGACUGAGAUACGGCCCAGACUCAUACGGGAGGCAGCAGUGGGGAAUAUUGCACAAUGGGCGGAAGCCUGAUGCAGCAACGCCGCGUGCGGGAUGACGGCCUUCGGGUUGUAAACCGCUUUCGCCUGUGACGAAGCGUGAGUGACGGUAAUGGGUAAAGAAGCACCGGCUAACUACGUG